Molecule: transfer RNA, 71 nt
Filed under: Loxodonta africana (African savanna elephant)
Lineage: Eukaryota; Metazoa; Chordata; Mammalia; Proboscidea; Elephantidae
Rfam family: tRNA
About the family: Transfer RNA (tRNA) molecules are approximately 80 nucleotides in length. Their secondary structure includes four short double-helical elements and three loops (D, anti-codon, and T loops).
Source: Rfam by way of RNAcentral
GCAGUGGUGGUUUGGUGGUAAACUUCUCCUCUUCCACGUGGGAGACCCAGGUUCGAUUCCUAGCCAAUGCA